GAGAGAGAGAGAGAGAGAGAGAGAGAGAGAGAGAGAGAGAGAGAGAGAGAGAGAGAGAGACGAUGGGUAAAGAACUCGGCGCCCUAGCAAACCUCGGCUCCUUCUCUUCCUCGUCGGCCUCGAGAUAGAUCUGAAAUCUCUCCGCCGCACAAGCCAAAAGGUGAUUUCCAUCGCAGCCGCCAGAAUGCUCCUUCCCUUCGCUUUCCCGGAAGUUUCUUAACCGGAAUCUGUGCCUUCACCAGCGCAUACCACGGUGGACAGGAUGACUCGAAGCCACUCAGAGUGGGCCUUGCAGAGGCUUCUCAAGGAGAUGUCCGGUUCCAAUCAAACCAACAACGCAAUCGAUCGGCCAGCUCCCUCCGGUUCAGUCUAAUGAGUCUCUUUCAAUCGUCGACGAAACCGCCGAUGUUGUUGAGAUGCAGAAGUAGUGCGGCUGUAUAAGUGCUUUUCAUGUGCUACAUUUCUUGAUGCUCAAGGAAAUCUGAGAGUCUGGUUUUGGAUUCAGCGCUUUGUCCCAACAAUUCAUGGCCAGAACAUAAGCUUUGAAGGAUGGUAUCGAGCAGACAAGGAAGACAAGGCGACAUAGAAACUCUGAUGUAUGUACCAGAGGACUCGAUAGAAGUCAACUCUGGUGACUAGGUGAUGCGACGACAGCACUCUGAAGGCGGAUGCUCUGGAGGCUGGAGGUGUAGGAUUAGGGUUUCUGGCGGAGGCUUAGUAUAGCUUUAGGUUAAUUGUGUUUUGGCUAAUUAUGUUUUGGUUUAAUGUUUUAAUUUGUUUUUUUGUUUAAUGUGUUCUUUAGUUAUUUGUACACUGAUGACUGAUGUUAAUCAAUAAAUAAAAUUUAAUUUUUAAUUAUAAA
Brassica napus (rape) is the source of this 862-nucleotide long non-coding RNA. RefSeq lists it as uncharacterized. NCBI's taxonomy places the organism in Eukaryota, Viridiplantae, Streptophyta, Magnoliopsida, Brassicales, Brassicaceae. The transcript is spliced from 3 exons. The record is from RefSeq and is a predicted model, not a curated record.